RNAcentral lists this long non-coding RNA (473 nucleotides) under Triticum aestivum (bread wheat). Its description in RNAcentral is "long non-coding RNA (TAES_LNC009964)". Lineage: Eukaryota; Viridiplantae; Streptophyta; Magnoliopsida; Poales; Poaceae. The record is from RNAcentral.
AAUGUAAAACAUGAAUAUGUAUGUAUGCUGCUUCAACCAAUCUAGUUCAAGGGUUGUUGGUAUGGUUCUUCCUAUUAGGAAAAUUGAACAUAGAGGAGGAAUCUGCAGACUUUAUAUUUCAGCUUGCAUUCUCUUUUUACAUGAAGAUAAAAAAUGAAGUAAAUACUUUUAAGCGAUAAGUGUUACCUUGGAUUUCUACUCGUAAAUCUGGGCGUAUUUCAUGUAGCUAGCAUUUUGAAUGCGUGAGAUUAUAUGUGGCUGUGCCUGCGAGCCUGUCAGUCAGAAUUCAGAAGCCUGGGUCGUGAAAAUGCACUGUUGAUUGGUUGUGUACUAACUGCUGGAGCUAAAAUGGUCGUAGAUCUUCUUGUGCCUUAACUCAUCACAUGCAGUCCUCCUGCAUAGUUCGAAAAAAGAAAUAAUUCACAAAACAAUACUGAGGAAGUCAUAUAAUGGUAAGAUAAGAACAGCUAGCU